Molecule: non-coding RNA, 123 nt
Filed under: Pediococcus stilesii
Lineage: Bacteria; Bacillati; Bacillota; Bacilli; Lactobacillales; Lactobacillaceae
Description: FMN sequence
Rfam family: FMN riboswitch aptamer (RFN element)
About the family: The RFN element is a highly conserved domain that is found frequently in the 5'-untranslated regions of prokaryotic mRNAs that encode for flavin mononucleotide (FMN) biosynthesis and transport proteins. This element is a metabolite-dependent riboswitch that directly binds FMN in the absence of proteins.
Source: Rfam by way of RNAcentral
GUUCAUCUUCAAGGGGCAGGGUGUGAUUCCCGACCGGUGGUAAAGUCCAUGAGCUAUCUUUGGAUGGUCGAUUCGGUGUAAUUCCGAAACCGAUAGUUAAAGUCUAGAUAAAGGGAGAUUGAA